Molecule: ribosomal RNA, 315 nt
Filed under: Clostridioides difficile
Lineage: Bacteria; Bacillati; Bacillota; Clostridia; Peptostreptococcales; Peptostreptococcaceae
Description: bacterial SSU rRNA
Rfam family: Bacterial small subunit ribosomal RNA
Source: RNAcentral
UAUCAGCAGGGAAGAAAAUGACGGUACCUGACUAAGAAGCCCUUUUUCUAGACGUGCCAGCAGCCGCGGUAAUACGUAGGGGGCAAGCGUUAUCCGGAUUUACUGGGUGUAAAGGGAGCGUAGACGGAAGAGCAAGUCUGAUGUGAAAGGCUGGGGCUUAACCCCAGGACUGCAUUGGAAACUGUUUUUCUAGAGUGCCGGAGAGGUAAGCGGAAUUCCUAGUGUAGCGGUGAAAUGCGUAGAUAUUAGGAGGAACACCAGUGGCGAAGGCGGCUUACUGGACGGUAACUGACGUUGAGGCUCGAAAGCGUGGGG